AUACGGAGGAUCCGAGCGUUAUCCGGAUUUAUUGGGUUUAAAGGGAGCGUAGGCGGAGGAUCAAGUCAGCUGUGAAAUGUAGAUGCUCAACAUCUGCACUGCAGUUGAAACUGGUUCCCUUGAGUGCGUAAGAGGCAGGCGGAAUUCGUCGUGGAGCGGUGAAGUGCUUAGAUAUGACGAAGAACUCCGAUCGCGAAGGCAGCUUGCCGGGCCGCGACUGACGCUGAAGCUCGAAGGUGCGGGUAUCGAACAGGAUUAGAUUCCCUGGUAGUCCGCACAGUAAACGAUGGAUACUCGCUGUCGGCGAUAUAUGGUCGGUGGCCAAGCGAAAGCGUUAAGUAUCCCACCUGGGGAGUACGCCGGCAACGGUGAAACUCAAAUGAAUUGACGGGG
RNAcentral lists this ribosomal RNA (393 nucleotides) under uncultured bacterium. Its description in RNAcentral is "partial 16S ribosomal RNA". It matches the Rfam family "Bacterial small subunit ribosomal RNA", at positions 523 to 918 of the family's 1533-position model. The record is from RNAcentral.